ACACUGUUCAUGGGUUACCGCGGCUGCUGGCACGGAGUUAGCCGGUGCUUCUUCUGUGAGUGAUGUCCUUCCUGCCGGUUAUUGACCCGCAGGCCUUCUUCCUCACUGAAAGUGCUUUACAACCCGAAGGCCUUCUUCACACACGCGGCAUGGCUGGAUCAGGGUUGCCCCCAUUGUCCAAUAUUCCCCACUGCUGCCUCCCGUAGGAGUCUGGGCCGUGUCUCAGUCCCAGUGUGGCUGAUCAUCCUCUCAGACCAGCUACGGAUCGUCGCCUUGGUGAGCCGUUACCUCACCAACCAGCUAAUCCGACAUAGGCUCAUCCGAUAGCGCGAGGCCCGAAGGUCCCCCGCUUUCCCCCGUAGGGCGUAUGCGGUAUUAGCCUGGGUUUCCCCAGGUUAUCCCCCACUACCGGGCAGAUUCCUAUGCAUUACUCACCCGUCCGCCGCUCGCCACCAGGGAGCAAGCUCCCCGUGCUGCCGCUCGACUUGCAUGUGUUAGGCCUGCCGCCAGCGUUCAAUCU
RNAcentral lists this ribosomal RNA (520 nucleotides) under uncultured bacterium. RNAcentral's name for it is "partial 16S ribosomal RNA". The record is from RNAcentral.